RNAcentral lists this ribosomal RNA (491 nucleotides) under uncultured bacterium. RNAcentral describes it as "partial 16S ribosomal RNA". It matches the Rfam family "Bacterial small subunit ribosomal RNA", at positions 29 to 506 of the family's 1533-position model. The record is from RNAcentral.
AGUGAACGCUGGCGGUAGGCCUAACACAUGCAAGUCGAACGGCAGCACAGUAAGAGCUUGCUCUUACGGGUGGCGAGUGGCGGACGAGUGAGGAAUACAUCGGAAUCUACUUUUUCGUGGGGGAUAACGUAGGGAAACUUACGCUAAUACCGCAUACGACCUACGGGUGAAAGCAGGGGAUCUUCGGACCUUGCGCGAUUGAAUGAGCCGAUGUCGGAUUAGCUAGUUGGCGGGGUAAAGGCCCACCAAGGCGACGAUCCGUAGCUGGUCUGAGAGGAUGAUCAGCCACACUGGAACUGAGACACGGUCCAGACCCCUACGGGAGGCAGCAGUGGGGAAUAUUGGAAAAGGGGCGAAAGCCUGAUCCAGCCAUACCGCGUGGGUGAAGAAGGCCUUCGGGUUGUAAAGCCCUUUUGUUGGGAAAGAAAAGAAGCAGGUUAAAACCCCGCUGUUCUGACGGUACCAAAAAAAAAAACACCGGCAAACUUCGU